Molecule: ribosomal RNA, 497 nt
Filed under: uncultured bacterium
Lineage: Bacteria
Description: partial 16S ribosomal RNA
Rfam family: Bacterial small subunit ribosomal RNA
Source: RNAcentral
GAUGAACGCUGGCGGCGUGCCUAAUACAUGCAAGUCGAGCGAACGGACGAGAAGUAUGCUUCUCAGAUGGUAGAGGCGGACGGGUGAGUAACACGUGGAUAACCUACCUAAAAGACUGGGAUAAUUUCGGGAAACAGGAGCUAAUACCGAAUAAUAUUUUGAACCGCAUGGGUCAAAAGUGGAAGACGGUCUUGCUGACACUGAAGGAUGGGUCGGAGAAGCAUUAGCUAGUUGGAAAGGUAAAGGCUUACCAAGGCAAUGAUGAAUAGCCGCCCUAAGAGGGAGAUCCGCAGCACGGCAGCGGGGACACGCAGCCGACUCCGGCGGGAGGCAGCGGUCGGGAGUUUUCGGCAAGGAGCGAUAGCCUAAUUUAGCAAAGCGGCGUAAGUCAUGACCGUCUACGGCUCGUGAAUCUAUGUUGUUAGGGAGGAUGUUAUGUUUUGGUAUCUGUGCACAUCUUGACGGUACCUCAUCAGAAAGCCACGGCUAACUACGUG